Molecule: ribosomal RNA, 121 nt
Filed under: Berkelbacteria bacterium GW2011_GWA2_35_9
Lineage: Bacteria; Candidatus Berkelbacteria
Source: RNAcentral
GCGCUGGUGUUUAUUGCAAUGGGGGUACACCUGGUUACAUUUCGAACCCAGCAGUUAAGCCCGUUAGCGCCGAUGGUACUUGUCUCGCAAGGGACUGGGAGAGUAGGACGACGCCAGCGCA